RNAcentral lists this long non-coding RNA (207 nucleotides) under Homo sapiens (human). Its description in RNAcentral is "HSALNT0025630". The record is from RNAcentral. Lineage: Eukaryota; Metazoa; Chordata; Mammalia; Primates; Hominidae.
UGAAGAUUAGCCAUGAGGUGAGCCAGGUGGUGGCAGCUUCACCCUGUCGAUGCCAGAACUCAUUCUGACAUCAGGACUGGGCAGACGGACUUCCUCGGGCUGCUUGUUCCAUGAGAAUUCUCCUGGAAUGAUGUGCUUGGAUGAAAAAGACAAUUUCCUGAGUUUCCCUCUCAUGCGGAGCCGAAGCUGGACUGUACUGCUGCGAUC